RNAcentral lists this ribosomal RNA (515 nucleotides) under uncultured archaeon. RNAcentral's name for it is "bacterial SSU rRNA". It matches the Rfam family "Archaeal small subunit ribosomal RNA", at positions 343 to 857 of the family's 1478-position model. The record is from RNAcentral.
CACCUGACAGCGCGACAGCGUUGACGAAGGUCCUUCCGAAGUUGGUUCCCGCUUGAAGGGAAUCUUCUUGUUGGCUCUAAAAUGGCCAGUGAAUAAGGGGAGGGCAAGUCUUGGUGUCAGCCGCCGCGGUAAUACCAGCUCCUCGAGUGGUCGGGGCGAUUAUUGGGCCUAAAGCAUCCGUAGCCUGUUCUGUAGGUCUUCUGUUAAAUCCAACGGCUUAACCGUUGGCCUGCAGAAGAUACCGCAGGACUAGGAGGCGGGAGAGGUGGACGGUACUCCACGUGUAGGGGUAAAAUCCUUUGAUCCGUGGAAGACCACCAGUGGCGAAGGCGGUCCACCAGAACGCGCUCGACGGUGAGGGAUGAAAGCUGGGGGAGCGAACCGGAUUAGAUACCCGGGUAGUCCCAGCCGUAAACGAUGCGAGCUAGAUGAUCCAAUCGCAAAUCGCGAUUGGAGUGUCGCAGGGAAGCCGUUAAGCUCGCCGCCUGGGGAGUACGGUCGCAAGACUGAAACUU